RNAcentral lists this transfer RNA (77 nucleotides) under Bacillota bacterium. RNAcentral describes it as "tRNA-Arg". It matches the Rfam family "tRNA". Rfam says of the family: Transfer RNA (tRNA) molecules are approximately 80 nucleotides in length. Their secondary structure includes four short double-helical elements and three loops (D, anti-codon, and T loops). The record is from RNAcentral. RNAcentral also lists the same sequence under 1 other name. Lineage: Bacteria; Bacillati; Bacillota.
GCACCUAUAGCUCAGCAGGAUAGAGCAACGGUUUCCUAAACCGUGUGCCGGGGGUUCGACUCCCUCUAGGUGCACCA